Molecule: ribosomal RNA, 421 nt
Filed under: uncultured archaeon
Lineage: Archaea
Description: partial 16S ribosomal RNA
Rfam family: Archaeal small subunit ribosomal RNA
Source: RNAcentral
CUACGGGUUGCUGCAGUCGGGCAUAAUCUACAAUGCACGCAAGUGUGAUAGUUUGAGCCAGAGUGUUUUUCAAAUGAAAAGCUUUUAUGAAAUGUAAAAAGUUUCACGAAUAAGGACUGGGUAAGACGAGUGCCAGCCGCCGCGGUAAUACUCGCGGUCCAAGUCGCAGCCAUUAUUAUUGGGUCUAAAACAUCCGUAGCUUGCUGAGUAAGUUCCUUGUGAAAUUUGGUAUCUUAAGUAUCAAGCGAGCAAGGAGUACUGCUCAGCUAGAGACUGGGAGAAGUGAGAAGUACGUUUAAAGUAACGGUAAAAUGUGUUAAUCUUAGACGGACUCACAAUAGCGAAGGCAUCUCACUAGAACAGUUCUGACAGUAAGGGAUGAAGGCUAGGGGCGCAAAACGGAUUAGAUACCCCCGUAGUC